RNAcentral lists this ribosomal RNA (623 nucleotides) under uncultured bacterium. RNAcentral's name for it is "bacterial SSU rRNA". It matches the Rfam family "Bacterial small subunit ribosomal RNA", at positions 62 to 674 of the family's 1533-position model. The record is from RNAcentral.
UCGAACGGUAGCACAGGGGAGCUUGCUCCCCGGGUGACGAGUGGCGGACGGGUGAGUAAUGUCUGGGGAUCUGCCCGAUGGAGGGGGAUAACUACUGGAUACGGUAGCUAAUACCGCAUAACCUCGAAAGAGCAAAGUGGGGGACCUUCGGGCCUCACACCAUCGGAUGAACCCAGAUGGGAUUAGCUAGUAGGUGGGGUAACGGCUCACCUAGGCGACGAUCCCUAGCUGGUCUGAGAGGAUGACCAGCCACACUGGAACUGAGACACGGUCCAGACUCCUACGGGAGGCAGCAGUGGGGAAUAUUGCACAAUGGGCGCAAGCCUGAUGCAGCCAUGCCGCGUGUAUGAAGAAGGCCUUCGGGUUGUAAAGUACUUUCAGCGGGGAGGAAGGGAUGAAGGUUAAUAACCUUCGUCAUUGACGUUACCCGCAGAAGAAGCACCGGCUAACUCCGUGCCAGCAGCCGCGGUAAUACGGAGGGUGCAAGCGUUAAUCGGAAUUACUGGGCGUAAAGCGCACGCAGGCGGUUUGUUAAGUCAGAUGUGAAAUCCCCGGGCUCAACCUGGGAACUGCAUUUGAAACUGGCAAGCUUGAGUCUCGUAGAGGGGGGUAGAAUUCCAGGU